RNAcentral lists this ribosomal RNA (190 nucleotides) under uncultured bacterium. RNAcentral's name for it is "partial 16S ribosomal RNA". It matches the Rfam family "Bacterial small subunit ribosomal RNA", at positions 1311 to 1500 of the family's 1533-position model. The record is from RNAcentral.
CUCGCCUACACGAAGUUGGAAUUGCUAGUAAUCGUGGAUCAGCAUGCCACGGUGAAUACGUUCCCGGGUCUUGUACACACCGCCCGUCACACCAUGGGAGCUGGUAACACCCGAAGUCAGUAGUCUAACCGCAAGGAGGACGCUGCCGAAGGUGGGAUUAGCGACUGGGGUGAAGUCGUAACAAGGUACC